AUCCCUUCGGCGACAUCCAAAAAAAUUGAAACGACGCAGAGAAGAUUAGCAUAGCCCUUGUUUGUGUAAGGAUGACACGGACAAAUCGAGUACUAAUAACCCUUUGU
Small nuclear RNA from Coffea arabica (coffee), 107 nucleotides. The record is from RefSeq and is a predicted model, not a curated record. Lineage: Eukaryota; Viridiplantae; Streptophyta; Magnoliopsida; Gentianales; Rubiaceae.